This 2220-nucleotide small RNA is filed under the name Arabidopsis thaliana (thale cress). RNAcentral describes it as "ATSL176560". The record is from RNAcentral. Lineage: Eukaryota; Viridiplantae; Streptophyta; Magnoliopsida; Brassicales; Brassicaceae.
CUAAAUCCCUUCAUGCAACUUUCAUUGAACUUGUGCUUGCACAUUCUUGAACAUUCCUUGUUUGCAGGUACAGCUUCUCUAAAUCUCUUCCCAAGCUGCGGAAUGCACUCAAAUGCCAGAAUCUAGACACAAAAACAUAAAAGUAAAUGCAAGUUCACAAUAACAAAAUCUAGCCACUCAUAUAAUUUACUCGACUACUUACCUUAAGUGGAGUAAUAAAUCCAUAAAAAGCAGUAUGUGUCUUGGGUUUCACCACACCUUUCAUGUUCUUCAUUACUCUCUGCACCCCUUCCAUACACUGCUCAAAGGAAAAACGUCCCCACGGGAAUGUCUCACAAGCUCUGACAUUAUCCACAAUCCUAAGAAGCAACUCCUCUAUCUUCGAAUCCCCUUUAGAAUCAGCUUUCAUAACCUUAGCUAAGAAUAACAGAAUUGCCAACUUCAACCUAGCAGUAGACUUCUCACUCUUAAACUCUUCCAGCUUCUCUUCCACGUCUUUAAUCUUGAUGUCCUCAGUCCUCUUAAACAACUUCUCAACAAACUUCAAACUGCCUAAAGUCUUAUUGUUUUUUGGGUACUCACGGCAGUUCAAACCGGUCAACAAUGCAUGCUCUCUAAUUGAGUACCUUAUAGGUACUCCAUUGACAACAAACCAACACUCUCUCGCCAAUUCUGUCUUAGCCGUGCGAACCAUAAGCAUCCACAUGCCUUGAAUCAUGUGAUUGGGCUCCUUAGGCAUGUGGAAUAUGUGCUUAAAUUGGUCAUGAUUCCUAAACCACUUCAGUUCUUCAUCCAAAGUCUCUAUAAAUUCCACUGUUUGUACCAACUGACACCUCGUUCCUAUCUUACACACCUUCGUGUAGGUAGUUGGAUCAAAGUACAUAACUUCUGGCGGCAAUGGUUGAUUAUCAUCAUCAUCAUCAUCAUCAUCCUGCAUAUUCUGCGGCAGGUUAUCAUCAUCACCAUCAUGCAUAUUCUGCGGCAGGUUAUCAUCAUCACCAUCAUCCUGCAUAUUCAAUUCAAAAUACUUUCAAUUCCACAUUAACUACCUAGUUGUACUACUUGUUCCUGAAUGACCAUUCACAAAUUUACGACCUAGUUGUACUACUUGUUUUAUCUGAAGCAGCAUUCACAAAUCCAAUCAUUUACCAAUGCAUAAUAUCCUAAAACGAGCCUAAUACAAAAAAUAACGGUCUUCUAUCAUACCUUAUUUGCUCCAUCAUCAUGUUGAACAACUGCAUUCGUUGCUUCUUCUUCUUCUGCACAAGAAUCGGCAUUUGGGUCUGAAAGAUCGUCAAUUGACUCCCAUGCGACGGCGUUUGAAUUACCCAAAUCGGCGGCGUCACAACCGCCGGUUGUAGGCUGAAUUUCUCCGGCUUCCUCUUCUGUUGUAAGAAGCUCUGCGCCUUCUUCAUCUCUUUGGGGAAUCUCGGCGGCUGUCUCUUCGACUGAUGGAGGAAUUUCGCCGGUCGUUUCAACCCUAGUUGAUUCAUAUUCUCCAGAUGAGUCUUUUACUCUAGCCAUAUGAAAGAGACAAAGACGAACGAAAACGGAGAAGAAAGAAGAAUAGAAGAGAUUGAUUUUUCCGGUGAAAUUGGUGUCGUCGGAGACGAGAGAAGACGACGACGGAGAGAAGAGGAAGAAGUCGAGAAGUGAAAAGGGGGAAGAACUUAGGUUUUUUCUGUAGUUUCUAGGGUAAAUAAUACAACUGGGCCGAGUAUUUACAUUUUUCUUUGGGCCCGAGUCCAACAAAUUAAGUUUUCUUGUAGUUUUCGUGGUUUCGCAAGGGUUUUUCGUCCUUUCCUCAAUUUUCGAUUUUAAUAAAAAUCAAUAAUAUUAUUCCAAACAUAAGAAUGGCACGAGUGAUUAUUUCUUCUCCAAUAAUGGCAUAAGAGGUGAGCUCUCCGGAGAAGACAACAGAAGAAGUCAAUUGUGUUAAAUAGAUGACAACGUCCAAUAUUUUUGUAAUAUUACACUUUUACACCCCCAUGUUUUGAAAGUACAAGUACACCCAAUAAAUUUUUGAAAUAAGCUCACAACCCCCAUUAGGCCCAAAGAGAAAAACUAAAUGGUAGAUUAACCACUUGAUAAAUUAAACAGAGAAUAACGGUAUAUUUCUUUGAAUAAUUUCCGAAGUGAGUAUAGCCGUCGAUACGUUUAGGAUGAAGUGUUUGGGUACUCAUUCAGAUUUGGUUCUGGUCUUUUUGUUCCAAUUUAGUU